Molecule: ribosomal RNA, 484 nt
Filed under: uncultured bacterium
Lineage: Bacteria
Description: partial 16S ribosomal RNA
Rfam family: Bacterial small subunit ribosomal RNA
Source: RNAcentral
AUUGAACGCUGGCGGCAGGCCUAACACAUGCCAGUCGAGCGGAUGAAGGGAGCUUGCUCCUGGAUUCAGCGGCGGACGGGUGAGUAAUGCCUAGGAAUCUGCCUGGUAGUGGGGGAUAACGUCCGGAAACGGGCGCUAAUACCGCUUACGUCCUGAGGGAGAAAGUGGGGGAUCUUCGGACCUCACGCUAUCAGAUGAGCCUAGGUCGGAUUAGCUAGUUGGUGGGGUAAAGGCCUACCAAGGCGACGAUCCGUAACUGGUCUGAGAGGAUGAUCAGUCACACUGGAACUGAGACACGGUCCAGACUCCUACGGGAGGCAGCAGUGGGGAAUAUUGGACAAUGGGCGAAAGCCUGAUCCAGCCAUGCCGCGUGUGUGAAGAAGGUCUUCGGAUUGUAAAGCACUUUAAGUUGGGAGGAAGGGCAGUAAGUUAAUACCUUGCUGUUUUGACGUUACCAACAGAAUAAGCACCGGCUAACUUCGUG